Molecule: long non-coding RNA, 1285 nt
Filed under: Androctonus crassicauda
Lineage: Eukaryota; Metazoa; Arthropoda; Arachnida; Scorpiones; Buthidae
Source: RNAcentral
UGCUCUUCCGAUCUGUGGUGGAUAUGGAAAUCAGUUCAGUUCAAGAUUUGGCCAAGAUUCCAUAGAAAAAGUGGUAGAAGAAUCAAAAAAAACAAGCAACAAAAAUGGAGUUUAUUGGGGUGGCGGCAGUGGUGGUGGUGGUGGUGGAUGGGCUGAUGAUUUCGGAUCUGGUUAUGGCAAUAGCUUUGGAGGUGGUCCUAUGAGAGGUGGGAGUGGAAGUAGUUUCCAUCAACGGGGACAAGGCCCAUAUGGUGGUGGAUAUGGAGGCGGUGGUGGUGGAGGAGGAUAUGGAGGAGGUUUUCGGAGAUAAGUGCCAAGAUUUGAAAGGGGGAAUGGGGGUAAGUAUGCAAAAAUUUCAAAUAUCUAAGGUAUUUAACACUGAAAUCCAAAAAGUUAGGAUUUUAUUAACAAUCUUUAGGUAUACAAACACAAUACCCAGUGCUACAGUUCUUAUGAAAUAAGUAAAUUGAUUGGGAAACAAUUUUAAAUAAUAAAUCAGGGUUUCUAAUAUUACUAUUGCAACAUCUGUUUCCUCGUCAUCUUAGAGAGCAAAUUAGAUUACAUUUUAAUAGCUGUUUUUUACAUUUAAUCUAGGGAUGUUUUAGACAACAGCCAGGAACUUAUAGCCAGUCAAGCUAGAGAAAGGGUGUAUAGUCCAAUAUGAUAUAUGUAGCUGUUUCUGAAGGAAAGAACUGAUUGAAGUGAAGUUGAGACAAGAUUCAGCUAGGUCUUCUAAAACAUCUGAGCAGGAGGGGUCCAGUGUUUAGACGACAGUUCAUCAAAGGCACUUUAUUAAACUCGCAUUCCCUGUUGACUUGAUAUUUUAAUUGGGUCUACUUCAGAUCGCACAUUUUCAUUAUCUGCAGUCAUUGUUAUUGUAAUGCUAUCAUAUCGUUGUCAGUCAAUUUCAUUGCUACCAUUUAUUUUAAUCUUCUACACAAAUUUGAAUGUAUGAUUUAGUAUGAGAAAUAAAUCAUCAUAUUGGCUUUCACUAAAGUAAUGGACUCAAAAUUAUUUAGGACUAAAUUAGGUUAUUUAGGAUAUGUAAGCUAGUAUCAGAACACUGGACCUUUUUUAUAGUAUCAGCUUUUUCUUUUAAAAAUAAAAUAAUUUAGGAUGAAAUAAUUGUGGACUAUUAAUAAAAUUAAAAGCUGAAAAAUCGGUAAUUAUAGCUAGGAACUUUUAAAUUCUAAUUAGACAAAUUGAUUUCAAACAUUUUAAUGCAUUUAUAUUUUGAAAUGCAUCACAAAAUUAUUAUAAAUUUUUUAUAAAGUCUGAAUUAUUU